Molecule: unclassified non-coding RNA, 317 nt
Filed under: Hevea brasiliensis (rubber tree)
Lineage: Eukaryota; Viridiplantae; Streptophyta; Magnoliopsida; Malpighiales; Euphorbiaceae
Source: RNAcentral
GUGCCCUGGAAACGAUCUAGCAAAGCUUGAAAUCUCCAUCUUUCUGCACCAUUUUCUCCUUAAUUAUGAGCUCGAACGUCUCAAUCCUGGAUGUUCAUUAAUGUACUUACCUCAUUCAAGACCAAAAGACAACUGCUUGUCAAGAAUUAAGAAAAUUCCUUGCUCAUGAAGAAACAGAAAUGAAUGAACAGCAGACAUUAAAAUCCACACAUACAGGACAAACCAACAUGCAAACACAAGGAAGGUUGGUUGGUUGCUUACACUGUUGUAUCCACACCAUGAAAUUUUUAAUAUCAAAAUGGUUUAGAGCUUUCUAA